AGCAACCAGCGGGACCUGCCGUCCCCCGGGGCACCCCGAGGGGUCUGCGCCCGCUUCUUUCCGAAACGGGAAGGCGCUGGGGGCUCGGCAGCCAGAGGGACGGGUUCAGGGAGCGUCCGGUGAGCCUAAGACGCGCCUUUGCCGGGGUUGCCGGGUGUCUGCCUCUCACUUAGGUGUGCGCGGCGCUCGCAAGUGGUCAGCAUAACGCCGGGCGAAUUCGGAAAGCCCGUGCGUCCGUGGACGACCCACUUGGAAGGAGUUGGGAGAAGUCCUUGUUCCCACGCGCGGACGCUUCCCUCCGUGUGUCCUUCGAGCCACAAAAAGCCCAGACCCUAACCCGCUCCUUUCUCCCGCCGCGUCCAUGCAGAACUCCGCCGUUCCUGGGAGGGGAAGCCCGCGAGGCGUCGGGAGAGGCACGUCCUCCGUGAGCAAAGAGCUCCUCCGAGCGCGCGGCGGGGACGCUGGGCCGACAGGGGACCGCGGGGGCAGGGCGGAGAGGACCCGCCCUCGAGUCGGCCCAGCCCUAACACUCAGGACCGCCUCCAGCCGGAGGUCUGCGCCCUUCUGAGGACCCUGCCUGGGGGAGCUUAUUGCGGUUCUUUUGCAAAUACCCGCUGCGCUUGGACGGAGGAAGCGCCCACGCGUCGACCCCGGAAACGAAGGCCUCCCUGAUGGGAACGCAUGCGUCCAGGAGCCUUUAUUUACUCUUAAUUCUGCCCGAUGCUUGUACGUGUGUGAAAUGCUUCAGAUGCUUUUGGGAGCGAGGUGUUACAUAAAUCAUGGAAAUGCCUCCUGGUCUCACCACACCCAGGGUGACAGCUGAGAUGCGGCUUCUCCAGGGUGGAGCCUCCUCGUUUUCCAGAGCUGCUUGUUGAAGUCUUCCCAGGGCCCCUGACUUGCACUGGAAACUGCUCACCUUGGCAUCGGGAUGUGGAGCAAGAAAUGCUUUUGUUUUCAUUCAUCCUAGUGUUCAUAAAAUGGAAAACAAAUAAGGACAUACAAAAACAUUAAUAAAAUAAAUUAAUGGAACUAGAUUUUUCAGAAAGCACAACAAACACAAAAUCCAAGUAUUGCCAUGUCAGCAACACAUUCCUACUUUAAGUUUUAUGAAGUUAAUUGGAGUAGUGGAGAACAAAAGUGGAUGUGGGGCAGAUCUGCGUCCUGCAUGUGUCUUGCAGCCAGACUGUUCCAGCUGUUGCAGACCUCAAAAUAGAGAGGACCCAGGUUUUCUGAUUUUGCCUUCUUUUUUUUUUUUUUAAAUUUAUUAUUGUUAUACUUUAAGUUUUAGGGUACAUGUGCAUGAUGUGCAGGUUAGUUUCAUAUGUAUACAUGUGCCAUGCUGGUGUGCUGCACCCACUAACUCGUCAUCUAGCAUUAGGUAUAUCUCCCAGUGCUAUCCCUCCCCCCUCCCCCCACCCCACAACAGUCCCCAGAGUGUGAUGUUCCCCUUCCUGUGCCCAUGUGUUCUCAUCGUUCAAUUCCCACCUAUGAGUGAGAAUAUGCGGUGUUUGGUUUUUUGUUCUUGCGAUAGUUUACUGAGAAUGAUGAUUUCCAAUUUCAUCCAUGUCCCUACAAAGGACAUGAACUCAUCCUUUUUUAUGGCUGCAUAGUAUUCCAUGGUGUAUAUGUGCCACAUUUUCUUAAUCCAGUCUAUCAUUAUUGGACAUUUGGGUUGGUUCCAAGUCUUUGCUAUUGUGAAUAGUGCCGCAAUAAACAUACGUGUGCAUGUGUCUUUAUAGCAGCAUGAUUUACAGUCCUUUGUGUAUAUACCCAGUAAUGGGAUGGCUGGGUCAAAUGGUAUUUCUAGUUCUAGAUCCCUGAGGAAUCGCCACACUGACUUCCACAAUGGUUGAACUAGUUUACAGUCCCACCAACAGUGAGAGGACCCAGGUUUUCUAAGACCAAGUCGCUACACUCUUAACUGCAGUGGGUGGAGUUUGGGGAUGGACUUCUCCUCAGCUCCCUGCUGCCGCUCUCCAGCGUCCCCGGGUGCAGACCCUCUGCCGCCACAGCUGGAGACUCCCAAAGGAGGCAAGCAAGCCUCAGCGAUCCCAGGAGGCCCCAUCGGCCCUUCCCAGGCUUUCCUCUCUUUAAGCUCCUCCUCCUUCUUCCCUUUCUUCAGAAUCGAAUCUAGGCAAGGAUUUCACAGUCUGAGCUUUGACCAAGGACAGUAACUGGGUCCAGGGAUGGAAAACUUUGCUUCUAGGUCCCGUUUUGCUACAGCCUUGCAAGAGGACUGUGAUCAGGCCUCAGUUUCCGUCUCUCUAAACUGAGGAGUGCUCUGCGGGGAUCUCUGCCUCCUUUACAAUAUUUCCUCCAGUGAUGUCUUCAUUAUUAGAGCUGCUGACUUCAAAUGACAUUUCAUAAUGUUGUCCCUCUCUGUUGUGUCAUCCAGAGUCGUUUUUCUUCUUAUAUCUUGAAAAUAGAUAACUAAGAUAAUAUGAAUAUCAAACUGAGCCCCUUUCUUCGGAUUUUGUAACAAGGAAAAUUCCUAGUAAUGAUGAAGUAACUAAAUGAAUCUGGAUGUGAGCUUUAUUUUAUGAUUGGAUUAGGGUAUAUCCAUGAGCCUUGGACUUAUCUAAAACUUUAAUUAAUCUAAAAUUAUGCAGUGUUCAUUACUUAGCAAAGGUAUCAUGGCUUGGUGUCUAGCAUUCUUGGUAGAAAGCCAUCGCUGUGUUAGGGAGUGUUGGCUGUUUAUUGAGGCCAUCGGUGAGGCAAUGCAAGACAGACAAAUGUGGCUUCAGUACUACUAAUAUGACAGCAGACAGCCACCAGCUGGAAAGGUGUAUUGAGAUUGUAAAGAUGUGCUCCUUCCCGAGGCCAGGGACCAGGGCCACUUACAGUCCCACAAUCAUCUUUUUGAACUGUAAAUCUGAAUUCCUUUCCCCAUGACAAAGUUGGGCAGGGAACCAUCAAACUGGGAUUCUGGAAAUCAGGAUGGGGGAGCAGAGAAUCCUGCACCCUCACAAACCCCUUUUGCUGUGUUUGCUCCUGGUGCAAGUUCUCACUUCUUCAUGGCUUGGGGGCUGAGCAGAGUUCCUGGGGGUGUUUGUGCUACCUCAGCUCUCUGUUCCCACUGCUUGGAGCCGGAGAGGAGGCAGGGAUAGAAGUCAUGGAUUAAAGGUCUGGAGACAGGGCAGGAAGAACGGCAAGAUUCAGAGGAAAAUGUUUGUUUACAGCCAGAAUCAAUUGAUAGGCAUCCACACAGCGUUGGGGAGAAUGAUGCAGCACAGUGCCCUGGCCUGGCACGCAGGAGCCUAUGACCGUUCCGUCCCCUGAGCCAGCUCAGGCUCCUCACCCCCACCCUCAGAAUGUGGGCUUUCAUGGCUGCUCCAUCCUGGGCCACAGCCCUUCACCAGGCUCCUCUCUGGCAGGGCCACAGAGAAUAAAAGGGAGCAGAAACCACAUCCUGCACACAGAUAGAACCUGCAUCAGCCAAAGUGUCCAUCUGACCAAGGGUCUCCCUUCCGCACUGCCCAGGGGGCUACAACAUGUUGUUUGGACCACGGUUACUAUACCUGACUCUCUUUAAUUUUUUGGCUCAAAUUGUUUUCUCUCCUUGAUUAGAUUAGGUACCUUGGUAAUAGUUACGUUUGUCUGGAACCUAGAGGUUGCAAGAUCAUGAAACUGCAGUUAUACCUUCCCAGAGGGGUUGAUGGCAUCCUCAGAUCCUCGACUUGUGGAAUGACCUGUGUGGAUCUGACUCUAGGCCAUCUCCCAUUGGAAGAGGAGGAAGGCUUUUAUGGUUGAAAGAAGGACCAUUGCAUUAUAAUAGGUGCAGUCAUUUUGGAAUUCUCGGUAUGGGGAGAGGCAUGUGCUUGUGUAUGUGCACACAUGCAUACUUGCUCAGGAACCAAGGGGGUGGCCUACAGUGACAUAUGUCAUGAUUUUUGUUUAUUCUGCUGCUGUAUUCAUUUUCAAUUGCUGUUAUAACAAAUUACUACACACUUUGUGCCUUAAAAGAACACAAAUUUAUAUUUUUACAAUUCUGCAGACCAGAGGUCCAGCAGGGUCUAAAAUCAAGGUGCCAGCAGUGCUGUGUUUGUUCCUGGAGGUUCUAGGGGAGAAUCACUUCCCGCACAUUUGGGCUGUGGGCAGAAUUCAAUUCCUUGUGGUUGUAGGACGGAGGUUGCCAUUUUCCUGCUGGAUGAGGGCCAUUCCCAGCUUCUAGAAGCCAUCUGCAUGCCUUGGUUUGAGGACCCUUCGACUAUCUUCAAAACCAGCAAGGGUAGGUCAGACCCUUCUCACAGGCUCUUCUUCCUUCCUUUUUAUGGACUCAUCUCAUUAGGUUUGCAGCCACUUGAAUAAUCCCAGAUCAUUUCUCUAUUUUAAGGUCAGCUGAUCAGGUCAACUGAAUUCUACCUAUAACCUUAAUUAUUUUUUGCCAUGUACGGUAACGUAUGCAUAGAUUCUGGGGAUUAGUAUGGAGACAUACUAAUUACACUGUAGCUAGAUAUUUGUGUCGGAGGGGGGGCAUUAUUCUGUACCUAGAAGAGAGGGGAUUUGUGGGGCUGCAGGGUGUGUACAUGUUCAGUGUUAACUGAUUCUGCUAAGUGGUUUUCCAAAGAGGCAUGCCCACUAAACACUAUUCUCUUUCAUUGGUCUGUUUAUUUAUUCUCAUGUCCAUAUCAUACUGUUUGAAUUACUGUCUUGAUAUCUAGUAUUCUAAAUAUUCUUACUUCGUUAUUCUUUGAAAUUGUGUUUGCUAUUUUAGCCUUUUGCAUUUCCAUAUAAACUUUAGAAUCAACUGGCUAAUUUCCAUAAAAAUAACUGCUGGGAUGUUGAAUGGGAUUGCUUAGAUUCUAUAGAUUAUGUGGAGGAAUAAUUUAUAUUUUACAAUAUAAAGAUUUUCAGCCCAUGAACAUGGAAUAUCUCUUUAUUUAUUUGAAGAUACUCUUCUUUAAUUUAUGUCAAUGUUUUAUAGUUUUCUUUCACACAUUUCACUAGUUCCUAACUGUUUGAUAUUUUUAAUGCAAUUGUAAAUGAUGUCAUUUAAAAAUUAAUUUUCAGGCAAGGUACAGUGGCUCACUCCUGUAAUCCCAGCACUAUGGGAGGUUGAGGCAGGAGGAUCACUUGAGGCCAGGAGUUCAAGACCAGCCUGGGCAACACAGGGAGACCCCAUCUCAAAAAAAAAAAAUUUAGCCAAGCGUGGUAGUACCUGACUGUAAUCCUAAUUACUGGGGAGGCAGAGAUGGGAGGAGGCUGAGGUGGGAGGAGGCUGAGGUGGGAGGGCUCUGCUUGAGCCCAAGAGUUCAAGGCUGCGGUGAGUUUGUGCCACUGUACUCCAGCCUGGGUGACAGAGUAAGAUCCUGUCUGAAAAAAUAAUUUUCUAAUUGUUGCUAUUGUUUCAAAAUACAUCUGAUUCGUGUAUACUAUCUUGUAUCUAAUUACUUUGCUUGUUAAUUAUAAAUUUCUUUGGAUUUUUCAUGUACACAUCCUAUCUAUCCAAAGGAACAGAAAUCAAAAUAUAAAAGAUAUAUGUAAACUUGGAAUGUUUAUUGCAGCACUAUUCACAAUAGCAAAUAUAUAGAAUCAACCCGUUUUCAUCAACAAAUGAAUGAAUAAAGAAAAUGUCAUAUAUAUAUGUAAUGGAAUUCUAUUCAGUCAUAAAAAGAAAGAAAACAUGUCAUUUGUGGCAACAUGGAUGGAAUUGGAGAGAAUUAUCUUAAGUGAAAUAAUCCAAACACAAAGAAAUAAAUAUUGCGUGUUCUCACUUGUAUGUGGGAACUAAAAUAUUUGAUCACAUGGAGGUCAAGAGGGGAAAAAUAAAUAACAGAGACUGGGAAGGGUGAGUGUGGGAGAAAAGAGAGGAAGAGGAGGACUGGGUUAAAGGGUACAAACAUAUGGUAAGACAGAAGGAAUUAAUUCCAUAUUUGAUGGUGGAGUAGGGGGACUGUACUUAACAAAAAUCGAUUUUACUUGGGUGAUGGCUGUCCUCAAUACGUUGACUUGACCGCUAUGCGUUAUAUACAUGUACCAAAAUUUCUUAUGUACCCCAUAAGUUUAUAGAAAUAAAAAACAGCAAAAAAUUGUAUAAAUAA
Homo sapiens (human) is the source of this 6041-nucleotide long non-coding RNA. RefSeq lists it as uncharacterized. The record is from RefSeq and is a predicted model, not a curated record. NCBI's taxonomy places the organism in Eukaryota, Metazoa, Chordata, Mammalia, Primates, Hominidae. The transcript has 2 exons.